CUUUAAAGCACAUUUGAAACACAUUCUUUUCCUCAAAGAAUUAUGGGCAUUGUAGUUUACCCCUCAAAGAGUUACAAUUCCAGUAACCCUUAACAAAGUGCAGUGCCCAGAAUUCUUUGAGGGGGCAAAUGUGCUUCAAAUGUGAUUUAAAGGU
Molecule: non-coding RNA, 154 nt
Organism: Podarcis lilfordi (Lilford's wall lizard)
Lineage: Eukaryota; Metazoa; Chordata; Lepidosauria; Squamata; Lacertidae
Source: the annotation of a GenBank genome assembly